Solea solea (common sole) is the source of this 1174-nucleotide long non-coding RNA. RefSeq lists it as uncharacterized. The record is from RefSeq and is a predicted model, not a curated record. Lineage: Eukaryota; Metazoa; Chordata; Actinopteri; Pleuronectiformes; Soleidae. The transcript is spliced from 2 exons.
AGGUGUGAUUUCACAGGCUGGCUCCCCCCUGUCAGGGCCCUGAUUGGGCCGGACAGGAGGCGCAGGAGAGGCCCGGGCUUCUAAAGGACACCAACAGGUGGGAGGCCGCUUUGGAGGGGGGCACUCCGGGGCGGGAUAGAAAAGGCCGAUCUGCAUGGCCUGAUGUGGGCACAAUCCACUGGCCACAAACAGAAGAGGAUGGUUGAUGGCAGGGGAGCUGAGGUGAAGAAAAGGGCAGGGUGAGGUUGGGGGAAUGGGUCUCAGGGAAGUCGAGGGUCAGUCUGAGAUGAGUUUGGGGUUUGGUGGGUUGGUAGGCCAGCUCCAGGUCAGUUUAGUGUUGCUCGUGAGCAAAUAUCUCAGGGUUUUUCUCUGGAUUUGAGGCCUAAAUUGCAGCCGUGUGUGAGUAAACUCAGGUGUCAAACCGGCUGUUAGAUGUUUUCUCUCAGUGUUGUUUUACGACAGCAGCACACACACGCUCUGACAGAGGCCCGACACCUCCGUCAGGUAAGAGGAAUGCUGAGGUGUGACACAGGAAAGAAUCAGCAAAUUUGGAUGCGCUCGUCUUUUCUUAAUGGCCAUUUGGUUUUGACACGGCAGAGGUCAGAUUUAUCAGGGGGAGUCACCACCACCACCAGAUAGACACUUAACUGUGUAGGAGAGACUGUCAGAAACCUCAGUGUGGCCUCAGACCUUGACUCACCACAAGAAAAAACCUGAAGAGGAGACACAACAAUGCUCAGCGAAGGUAAGGCCGAGGAGGACGUGACAGCGCGAUGAUGCCCACCUCCCAUUUCCCUUCUCUCUUCUUUUUCCAUGCCCUCACGCCCUCUGUAAACAUCCCUCACCUCCUCCCCCCCUUGCUCUCUGUCUAUUGCUCUGCCUCUUGCAGCUGAAGCAACACACCUUGCUGUGGCUGGUCAAACGGAACCAAGUCAGGUGUUUCUGUGAGGUUUGGUCCCCUUCAACCAGCUACUGCGUCGUGAAUUCAGUCAGCAGACACCGGUGUGGAAUCAAAGAGGCAGUGGCGUUGUUGUGUAAUGCUGCAUAGUCUGGAGGUGAUAGUCAAAAAGCAGAUUGUGUGUAUUUAAUUAAGUGGCUUAAUUCUGUGUUUGUUUCCUGUGUGACAUUGUGAGCUUGAAUAAAAGUAUUUAUAAAUAAAAGAUUACUGACGAAA